UACAGAGGUCUCAAGCGUUGUUCGGAAUUACUGGGCGUAAAGGGUGCGCAGGCCGCGCGGGCAGUCAAAUGUGUAAUUCAGAGGCUCAACCUCUGGACUGCGCUUGAUACUUCCGCGCUCGAACCUUGGAGAGGAGUCUGGAAUUCUCGGUGUAGCAGUGAAAUGCGUGGAUAUCGAGAAGAACACUAAGGGCGAAGGCAAGACUCUAGACAAGUGUUGACGCUCAUGCACGAAGGCUAGGGUAGCGAACGGG
Molecule: ribosomal RNA, 253 nt
Filed under: uncultured bacterium
Lineage: Bacteria
Description: partial 16S ribosomal RNA
Rfam family: Bacterial small subunit ribosomal RNA
Source: RNAcentral